Molecule: ribosomal RNA, 445 nt
Filed under: uncultured bacterium
Lineage: Bacteria
Description: partial 16S ribosomal RNA
Rfam family: Bacterial small subunit ribosomal RNA
Source: RNAcentral
GUGAGGAAUAUUGGUCAAUGGGCGGGAGCCUGAACCAGCCAAGUCGCGUGAAGGAAGAAGGAUCUAUGGUUCGUAAACUUCUUUUGCAGGGGAAUAAAGUGCAGGACGUGUCCUGUUUUGUAUGUACCCUGAGAAUAAGGAUCGGCUAACUCCGUGCCAGCAGCCGCGGUAAUACGGAGGAUCCGAGCGUUAUCCGGAUUUAUUGGGUUUAAAGGGUGCGUAGGUGGUUUGAUAAGUCAGCGGUGAAAGUUUGCAGCUUAACUGUAAAAAUGCCGUUGAAACUGUCGGACUUGAGUGUAAAUGAGGUAGGCGGAAUGCGUGGUGUAGCGGUGAAAUGCAUAGAUAUCACGCAGAACUCCGAUUGCGAAGGCGGCUUACUGGACUGUAACUGACGCUGAGGCGCGAAAGUGUGGGGAGCAAACAGGAUUAGAAACCCGGGUAGUCC